AUUGGGGCUUGCUCCAAUUAGUUAGUGGCAGACGGGUGAGUAACACGCGGGAAUCUACCUAUCAUUACGGAAUAACUUUUAGAAAUAAAAGCUAAUACCGUAUAUUCUCUGCGGAGGAAAGAUUUAUCGCUGAUGGAUGAGCCCGCGUCAGAUUAGGUAGUUGGUGAGGUAAUGGCUCACCAAGUCGACGAUAUGUAGCUGGUCUGAUAGGAUGAUCAGCCGCACUGGGACUGACACAGCGCCCACACUCCUACGAGAGGCAGCAUCGGGGAAUAUUCGACAAUGGCCGAAAGCCUGAUCCAGCAAUACCGAUUGAGUGAUGAAGGCCUCCCGGUUGUAAAACUCUUUUUCCAAGGAAGAUAUCCGUGGGUUA
RNAcentral lists this ribosomal RNA (373 nucleotides) under Rickettsia slovaca. RNAcentral's name for it is "bacterial SSU rRNA". It matches the Rfam family "Bacterial small subunit ribosomal RNA", at positions 72 to 461 of the family's 1533-position model. Lineage: Bacteria; Pseudomonadati; Pseudomonadota; Alphaproteobacteria; Rickettsiales; Rickettsiaceae. The record is from RNAcentral.